CACGAACACUCGUUCUUCAUGCCAGUCUCUGUCUGCUGACUCCUGUGCUGUGCUGACAGAACCAUUUGCAGCAGCUCCUACUGAAUUUGAUCAGAAAACUGAUGCAGGAGGAUCUGACGUUAUUCUGAAAAUGCCAUGACAUGGUACUUGCAAAUGCUCCUGUGAACUGAAGCAAAUCGUGCCUGGGAAAUGUGAAGGAUGAGAGAGGAACUGGAAAGUGAGGUUCGCCUGGCUUGAAGAAGAAGGGAGAUGUACCAAAGCUGUGAUGGAGACAGCUACCCUGAAAGUGGAGACAUCUUCAGUGCUGUUUGUGUAAACGGGAUCAACCAGUAUCAGCCACCCCACCAGGAGGAUGUAAUUCAAGCUGCAAGAAAAAUGCUGGCUCAGUGUAAUGAAGUGCUGGAUUGCAAGCAUUUCGAGUCACAAAGCACUUGUAAAUGCUGAGACAUCACAUUUACAGUGUAUUUGUUUCAUGGUUGCUGUAACGAUGCAGUCAACUGGAUUACUUUUUAGAUCCUCUGGGCUUUCUUGGUGAGUGCCUUUACCAUUUAAAAUUAAGAAUCUGAUUGACUGUGAAUCAUUAAGUAAAACAGAAAAACGGUGGGAAAAUAACUGUGUCUUGCCUAUUCUUCCA
This is a long non-coding RNA of Melospiza melodia melodia, 634 nucleotides long. RefSeq lists it as uncharacterized. The transcript is spliced from 4 exons. The record is from RefSeq and is a predicted model, not a curated record. Lineage: Eukaryota; Metazoa; Chordata; Aves; Passeriformes; Passerellidae.